RNAcentral lists this ribosomal RNA (468 nucleotides) under uncultured bacterium. RNAcentral's name for it is "partial 16S ribosomal RNA". It matches the Rfam family "Bacterial small subunit ribosomal RNA", at positions 28 to 507 of the family's 1533-position model. The record is from RNAcentral.
GACGAACGCUGGCGGCGUGCUUAACACAUGCAAGUCGAACGGAAAGGCCCUGCUUUUGUGGGGUGCUCGAGUGGCGAACGGGUGAGUAACACGUGAGUAACCUGCCCUUGACUUUGGGAUAACUUCAGGAAACUGGGGCUAAUACCGGAUAGGAGCUCCUGCUGCAUGGUGGGGGUUGGAAAGUUUCGGCGGUUGGGGAUGGACUCGCGGCUUAUCAGCUUGUUGGUGGGGUAGUGGCUUACCAAGGCUUUGACGGGUAGCCGGCCUGAGAGGGUGACCGGCCACAUUGGGACUGAGAUACGGCCCAGACUCCUCCGGGAGGCAGCAGUGGGGAAUAUUACACAAUGGGCGGAAGCCUGAUGCAGCAACGCCGCGUGCGGGAUGACGGCCUUCGGGUUGUAAACCGCUUUCGCCUGUGACGAAGCGUGAGUGACGGUAAUGGGUAAAGAAGCACCGGCUAACUACGUG